Molecule: ribosomal RNA, 1238 nt
Filed under: uncultured bacterium
Lineage: Bacteria
Description: bacterial SSU rRNA
Rfam family: Bacterial small subunit ribosomal RNA
Source: RNAcentral
CAGAGUGGAGCAUAAUCCCGCGAAAGCGGGACUAAUUCUCCAUAUUUUCCACUUGCAUAAGCAGGUGGAACAAAGGCUUCGGUCGCUCUGGGAAAGACUUUUGUCCUAUCAGUUAGUUGGUGAGGUAAUGGCCCACCAAGACGAUGACGGGUAGGGGGUGUGAGAGCAUGACCCCCCACAUGGGAACUGAGACACGGUCCCAACUCCUACGGGAGGCAGCAGUCUAGAAAUUUGCGCAAUGUCCGAAAGGGUGACGCAGCGACGCCGCGUGAGGGAUGAAGUCCUUCGGGAUGUAAACCUCUGUUGAGGGGGACGAUAAUGACGGUACCCCUCGAGGAAGCCUCGGCUAACUCCGUGCCAGCAGCCGCGGUAAUACGGAGGAGGCAAGCGUUGUUCGGAAUCACUGGGCGUAAAGGGUGUGUAGGUGUCCUAAUGGGUCAGUUGUGAAAUCCAACAGCUCAACUGUUGAAUUGCAUCUGAAACUAUUGGGAUUGAGGACAUGAGGGGAGAGUGGAACUCGCGGUGUAGCGGUAGAAUGCGUGGAGAUCGCGAGGAAUGCCGAUGGCGAAGGCGGCUCUCUAGUAUGUUCCUCGUUAGAGGAGCCGAUUAAUUUUAAUCUGCCUCUGGCGGAUUAUUGUCAGUCGGUCCUGACACUGAAACACGAAAGCUGGGGGAGCGAACGGGAUUAGAUACCCCGGUAGUCCCAGCCUUAAACGAUGUGCACUUGGCAUACGUCACAAAGUGGUGUGUGCCGAAGGUAACCUGUUAAGUGCACCGCCUGGGGAGUACGCUCGCAAGGGUGAAACUCAAAGGAAUUGACGGGGACCCGCACAAGCGGUGGAGGAUGUGGUUUAAUUCGAGGCAACGCGAAGAACCUUACCUGGGCUUGACAUGCUGAUAGUACUGAACCGAAAGGCAAGGGAUUCCACCUCUGGUGGAAAGUCAGCACAGGUGCUGCAUGGCUGUCGUCAGCUCGUGCCGUGAGGUGUUAGGUUAAGUCCUGCAACGAGCGCAACCCCUGCCCUUAGUUGCCAUUUUGUCUUCGGAUGAAGGCACUCUAAGGGGACUGCCGCAGAUAAUGUGGAGGAAGGUGGGGAUGAUGUCAAGUCAUCAUGGUCUUUAUGCCCAGGGCCACACACGUCCUACAGUGCCUUUUACAAUGGGAAGCUAAACCGCAAGGUGGAGCAGAUCCCACAAAGAAGGGCAUGGUUCGGAUUGAGGGCUGCAAUUCGCCCUUA